Molecule: ribosomal RNA, 504 nt
Filed under: uncultured bacterium
Lineage: Bacteria
Description: partial 16S ribosomal RNA
Rfam family: Bacterial small subunit ribosomal RNA
Source: RNAcentral
AUUGAACGCUGGCGGCAGGCCUAACACAUGCAAGUCGAACGGUAGCACAGAGAGCUUGCUCUCGGGUGACGAGUGGCGGACGGGUGAGUAAUGUCUGGGAAACUGCCUGAUGGAGGGGGAUAACUACUGGAAACGGUAGCUAAUACCGCAUAAUGUCGCAAGACCAAAGAGGGGGACCUUCGGGCCUCUUGCCAUCGGAUGUGCCCAGAUGGGAUUAGCUAGUAGGUGGGGUAAUGGCUCACCUAGGCGACGAUCCCUAGCUGGUCUGAGAGGAUGACCAGCCACACUGGAACUGAGACACGAUCCAGACUCCUACGGGAGGCAGCAGUGGGGAAUAUUGCACAAUGGGCGCAAGCCUGAUGCAGCCAUGCCGCGUGUAUGAAGAAGGCCUUCGGGUUGUAAAGUACUUUCAGCGGGGAGGAAGGCGGUGAGGUUAAUAACCUCGCCGAUUGACGUUACCCGCAGAAGAAGCACCGGCUAACUCCGUGCCAGCAGCCGCCGUAA